CAAUACAACCCAUGGUAAAACAAAUAUAUUUCACCUACCCAAUUCAUUUUAGCCUCAUUUCUUCAUCAAACCCCAUCUUCUUCACCUACUCAGGAAUAGUGCAUUAGUGUUUAAUUAGGAUUGCUAUCUGCUUCGAUUUGGUGGACUAAAACUGAAGAAUCUUUCAUUUCUAGCCUUAUCCAACUGGCUACUCAUUGAUAAAAAUUUACUGAUUUGGGUUAUCUUUUAGGGUUUGGGAAUAUUUGGGAUUCGGUAAAUGUUGUCUCUUUCUUUUUGUUUAAUAGGUCAUAUGAUAUUAUUAUUAUAGUAUCCUUUAUGCAUUUAUUUUUUAUUUUUGUUUGGGAUGGUCCCAAUCGUCUUUGUCCGACAUGAAAAAGUUAGGAUUUUUUUUUAUUUUUGUAUAUGUCGUUGGGUGGGUGUUAGUCGACAUAAUUGUGGUCCUUUUCCAUUUUCUUUAUUGCUUGAUAUCUUUUUGAUUUUAUUCAUAACUGAUGUGGGCCUCUUUUUUGUAAUUUUUUUGUUGCAUGUGGAUAUGUUAGAAGAAUGGUCGACAAAGUAGAUUUGUAUUUUAAUCAUGGUGGUGAUUGGACCUGGAACCCACCUUGUCUUAUUGUAAAAAAAAGAUGUGCACCUACUGAGAGAUUAUGAAGUAGACCAUUUGUCCUACAUUGAUUUGUGUAAUGAAUACACUGAUGUACUAGGGUAUGUUGAGGUACAGUAGCUGAUAUUUACUACUCCAUGUGGUAGAUAUUAUUUGUUGGAUGGAGAUGAAGGAAUUAGGAAGCUUAAGUCACUCAUUAAUGAAACUUUUAGGGUUAUUAAUAUAUUUGUUAUUGACCUCCUUGAUGAUACUGUUGUUGUUCCUAAUAUAACUCAACGUACUGAUACCAAUUGUGAAAAUAUAAUUGUUGGGACUGAUUGUGACAGUGAGGAAGAGGGUACAGAUAAUGAACCUAUGCAAAGUGAUUAUGAUAGUGAUGUUGUGUUAGGGGUAUUUAAGAAGCAAAGAAAACUUGAGGUAACAAAUAACUUGAUAGGUACAAAAUCUUGGUGAAGGGUAUGACAUUUAAGAAUCUUGCUGAAGCAAAAGAAGUUAUUGAUUUUUAUUCUGUUGCAAAUAAGAAUGCUUUAGAGUUAGUUAAGAGUGACAGGAAGAGACUUAUAUAUAAGUGUGUUGUUGGUUAUCCUUUUAAAUGUCUUAUCUCUAAGGAUGGAGAUAACCAAGGGUGCAAGAUAAAGACUUUAUAUGCUAAACAUGAAUGUGGGGAAGCAUUUGAGAACAGAAGAGUUAUUCCUGCUACCUUAGCUCAUUAUUUUAAGAGAAAGGUUCAAAAUAAUCAUAAGUACAAGGUGAAAGAAAUGAAGAGUGACUUGGAGGAGAGAUUUAAGCGAAAUGUGAGUCAGUCAAAGUUAAAGAGAGUGAAAAGGAUAGUGUUAGAGAAACUAGAAGUUAGCUACUUAGAUGAGUACAACAAGUUGGAGGCAUAUGCCCAAGAAUUGAGGGAGAGCAAUCCUGGUUCUGAUGUGGUUAUUCAGAUAUCCAAAGAUGCUUUGGAAAAAGGUAAAAGGAGAUUCUUGAGAAUGUAUGUGUGCUUUUUGGCCCUCAAGAAUGGCUUCAAAGCAGGUUUGAGGCCUUUUAUAUGACUUGAUGGUACCUUUUUAAAAGGAAAAUGCCAAGGUAUGUUGCUGGUGGUUGUGGCUCAAGAUUCUGCUAAAUAUUUUUAUCAAUUAGCUUGGGUUGUGAUAGACAAGAAAAAUAGUAGAACUUGGCACUGGUUUAUGGAGAACUUGAAGAGUUCUUUAGAUUUGAAAGAAGGUGAAGGAGUAACCUUCAUGUCAGAUAUGCAGAAGGGACUCUUAGAUGAUGUUAGGAAAGUAUGUCCAUAAGCUCAUCAUAGAUUUUGUGUGAGGCACAUUGAAGCAAAUUGGUGUAAAAGUUGGCAUAGUAAUGACAUGAAAAAGCUACUUUGAUGGUCUGCCUAGAGCACAUAUGAAGAAGAAUUUAAGGAUAUGUUGACGCAACUAGGUGAAGUAUCUGAGGAUUGUGUGAAAGACUUGUUGAAAUAUCUACCCUCUAGCUGAUGUAGAGCAUAUUUAGACACCAAAUGCAAGAACCUAAUGGUGGAUAAUAACUUUACAUAAUCUUUCAACUCAUGGAUUCUUGAAGCCAGACAACAGCCCAUUGUGAAGAUGCUUGAAACUAUCAGAGUGAAGGUAAUGACUUUGGUAAAGGACCAUGGAGAUGAAGUAAGUAGCUGGAAAAAUGUUCAUAUGCAAUGGAGCUCUAUAAUGAUUAUAGAGAGAUGGCACAAGAUUGUACCUCAUUUUUUAAUGGAGAGAGGGGUUAUGAAGCAUCACAAGGUACAAACAGGUACACUUUAUUCUUGAGUUUCAGAAGUGCACAUGUAGGAUAUGGGACUUGUUUGGCAUUCCAUGUCGUCAUGCUAUCAGGGUCUUCAAUUACAAGAAGCUUGAUCCAAAGACAGAGAUUCACUGGUGGUAUUCAAAAGAGGCAUUCCAGUUGGUGUAUCAACACAAGCUCCAACCUGUUAGGGAUGAGAAAUUUUGGAAGGUGGAGUCACAUCAUGCCAGAGAUCCACCACCCUUAGUAAAGAUGGUGGGUAGACCAAAAGUCAAAAGGACAAGAGAAAAAGAAAAGGCUAUUAAUAGGCAAGGCACAUGGGCAGCUUCUAGGAAAAGCCUUAAAAUGCAUUGUGGUUACUGUGGAAAAUAAAAUCACAAUCAAAGAAAAUAUCCAAUGAAGAUAAAGACAUCUAACAAUAGUUAUCUUAUUAUUUAUGCUUGUUUAAAGACACUGACCAGUUUAUUUCACCUUAUGCAGCUACAAGGGGUACCUCAGUCAGGGCAGAAACCCAGUGAGCCAUCUGAGUUUGUUAUAAUCCCUAAUCCUAGGUUUAUACCUCAGUCAGGACAUAAGCCCAUUGUAUUGGCAUACGCCUUGGCGUUGAGCAAAUUUUCUUUUGGGACGCAAGCCUAGAAAACAUCUCGAAAUUAGAAUUGAAAUUGCUAAAGAGUCCUUAAUUCAAUACGAAAAAUACAAAAUCAACAUGUAUUAAAUUUUAAAAAGUUAAAAAAAUUUAAAAUUCAAAACAAGAAUUUGUUCUUAGCUCUAUUUUUAUUCUUUCUCUUUGUCUUCUAUCAGGUAAAGGGGAAAUGAUCGAUUUGCAAACAACAAAGAAAAAUGCAUCAACCUUCAUCACUUCUCUGGUUCGACGCUUCUGAUUGCAACAAGGAUGGACAACUAAGACAGGUAUAAAAUAGGGUCUGAACAAGGCAGAAGGGAAGAAAACAACGGAAAAAUUUAACUGCAGAGUGGAUAAGUACUAGAGAGAAAAUUAGACAUACAUCAAAACUGUUUUGAUGAAAGACAUAUAUCAAAACUAUUGUUAGGGGGAAAAGGACAACCUAGACUUCUAGAGAGCAUGUUGAGGGCGAUGUUCACAAAAAGUCCCCUAUUAAGCCCAACUAUGCCAAGAAAUGGUAACUGACCCCUAAUUGUUGCAAAUAAUGCAGCAUCUGAAACUGUUUAAGAACAGAGGAAGUGACAAAAGGUUGUAAAUUGAGAGACAGAAGUAACUGAACGGUCCUCAUUUUCUUAAAACGCAGGUAAAUCAAGUAAACGACCCUACGAUUCUUAAAUUGAACUUAAACAUAUCAAGAAACAAGAUCCACAGAUUGGUCGUUAACUGCUAUUUGUACCUCUAAGUAUGGUGCCUUAAAGGCAUAAAAGAUGAACUUGCCCGGUGUGCAGAACAUCUGCAUCACUUCUGCAAAUGUCCUUUCAUACUCAAAAAUCAUGUGUCCAUAUAAUUAGAAUCCAUGUCUCAGCACAGAAUGUAAUCAUCAAAGAUCGAGUUACACUGAAAGAAAUUCAUUUCCUCAUGAAGCUUCCGGACAGUGAACCAGUGAAGCAGAGAAAGGUUACAGCAAGUUUACUCAUGAAAAUACGCCUGGGCAUACAUUACCUUAGUGUGAUUGGAAACUCAUUGAGCUUGUACAAGAGUAAUCAGAUGCAAAGUAAUACUCCAAUUUUACUGUAUAAAGCUAGCUUGCUGGUGCCUGCAUAGAUUGUGCAAGUAAGAAGGAGCGACAGAUCAUUAACUUCUAACAGGGUACAGACCCAGCGCUCAAGGCUUCAGAAUGAGUAACAAGGAGCAGCAAAUUACUGUAACUUCUAACACGGUUCCAUCAUAGUGAAUCAGAACUGUUUUCAAACCACAAAGAAAAUGUAUAAAGCCACUUGAAACUUUCUAAA
Nicotiana tabacum (common tobacco) is the source of this 4276-nucleotide non-coding RNA. NCBI's taxonomy places the organism in Eukaryota, Viridiplantae, Streptophyta, Magnoliopsida, Solanales, Solanaceae. The record is from RefSeq and is a predicted model, not a curated record.